Mirounga angustirostris (Northern elephant seal) is the source of this 1612-nucleotide long non-coding RNA. RefSeq lists it as uncharacterized. NCBI's taxonomy places the organism in Eukaryota, Metazoa, Chordata, Mammalia, Carnivora, Phocidae. The transcript has 3 exons. The record is from RefSeq and is a predicted model, not a curated record.
UAUUUGAUCUUCUGCCUAUGAACUACUUUUUUUUUUCUUUCCAGAAGCUCUUAGGACUUUUUUCUUUAUUUCUAAAGUUCUAAAAUUUCAUGAUUAUAUAUCUUAGUAUGUUUUAUAUUGUUUCCCAGAAAGUGAACUUGAGGCAAAAUCUUAUUUGCAGUUAUUUUACUGGUAGUGCAAGUCCAGAAAUCAUGGUGAGAGAUAAGAGGAGUGAGGGAGAAAAGAAAUACAGCCAAUAUGAAGAUGAGUUACUAAUGGGUUUAAUAUUAUGGAGCUGUCCUCUUGGAUUAAAUGCAUCUCAGGAUCAUCUGUUUCAGGUGUCUGCUGUUUAUCUGUAAGAGUGGAGCUCUGAGAAACCAGUUGAAAGCUCUCCGUGUAUGGGGUUAGGACACCCACUGUCAACUGUGCCCAGAGUUGCCUAGCCAGACUUUCUAUUUUACCUUCUCCAGAGAAUAAACUCUUAUCUUCUACCAAGAGGGAGAGGGGAAUCUUGGAAGUAAACUGUUUCUUAAACAGAACUGGAACCAACCAUCCUGAUUUUAACCCCACCUUCAUACCAUCUCUAGAUGUACCUAGUGCAUAGUUCUUGAGCCUUUGGGCAUUCUGCAGUGUGAAAUGAUUUGCUUCUCUGCUCUCCUCACUACCAGUUUAACACUUAGUUUCUUGGGUCUGCUAGGUCAUCCAUCUCUUUUCCAGCUUCCAAAAAUUUGUAGGUGGGACUCUCCUCUCCUGUUCUCUUUGUGGUAUUCUUUUCCAAAUCUCUUUCUCAUGGAAAGUAAAUGUACUCCUGAAAGUCUACUCUUCCUCCCACCAUAACAAAUAGAAACAUUGACCAAAUUAACUCCAGGGGAAAUUCUACUGUUUCUUGUCUUGGAAAAUUUAUGUCUCCACAAUGUAUUUGUAGCAUAAUAGAAUUUGUGUUUCAUGUGUCAACUCUGGCUUACUGAGGCAUUACAAGAGAUUAUACACUUAGUAUAGUAUACAAAAUAAACUCAUUCAGAAAUUUUUACUCCAUCCAAACAGAGUAUAGUAGAUCUGCAAAUCCUUCAAUUGAUUUGAUUGGUUUUCUCUGCACUCUGAACUUCUAGGUGAGAGAAACAAAUUCAAAUAUAACAACCCUAACAGGAAUUUAGUUAAAAUGAAAAUAAACAUUCCGGUAGAGAUUUGGGCCCAUGGUCUACACUUUGUAUUUCUAAAUGAUAAAGAGAAUUGAUGUUCCAAAUGAUAACCUUAAGACACCAUAGUAUUUUCUUUCAGAUAAAAAUUAUGUUCUAUCUUUGUAAGGUGGAGCUUUAGACAUUUCAGAAAAGGUUUUAAUGAUGAGAGUGGAGCAUAAAGAGAUUUCAGGUUAACUGUAAGUCAUUCAUCAGAAUGUUUGAUUCUGCAAAGUUAUUCUGGCUUUAUGGGACAGAAGUAAAUAAAUGGACAAUUGCCCAGAAUAUUUAAUGAGUGAGUGUGCUUAGUUGGAAGAAGCUGAGUCUACAGAAUUGUAAGCUUGAGCCCACAUCAGUAGCAGCAAACUAUUUUUCACUCAGAAUCUGUUUUAGUAAUCACUUUGCAGUUGCUGCCUCUAAUGAAACUUCCAGAAUCACAAUAAAUAACUAAAGCAAUU